UACGAAGGGGGCUAGCGUUGUUCGGAAUUACUGGGCGUAAAGCGCACGUAGGCGGAUAUUUAAGUCAGGGGUGAAAUCCCGGGGCUCAACCCCGGAACUGCCUUUGAUACUGGGUAUCUCGAGUCCGAGAGAGGUGAGUGGAAUUCCGAGUGUAGAGGUGAAAUUCGUAGAUAUUCGGAGGAACACCGGUGGCGAAGGCGGCAUCCUGGACCGACACUGACGCUGAGGAGCGAAAGCCAGGGGAGCAAACGGG
RNAcentral lists this ribosomal RNA (253 nucleotides) under uncultured bacterium. RNAcentral's name for it is "partial 16S ribosomal RNA". It matches the Rfam family "Bacterial small subunit ribosomal RNA", at positions 524 to 776 of the family's 1533-position model. The record is from RNAcentral.